Molecule: ribosomal RNA, 492 nt
Filed under: uncultured bacterium
Lineage: Bacteria
Description: partial 16S ribosomal RNA
Rfam family: Bacterial small subunit ribosomal RNA
Source: RNAcentral
AGUGAACGCUGGCGGUAGGCCUAACACAUGCAAGUCGAACGGCAGCACAGUAAGAGCUUGCUCUUACGGGUGGCGAGUGGCGGACGGGUGAGGAAUACAUUGGAAUCUACUUUUUCGUGGGGGAUAACGUAGGGAAACUUACGCUAAUACCGCAUACGACCUACGGGUGAAAGCAGGGGAUCUUCGGACCUUGCGCGAUUGAAUGAGCCGAUGUCGGAUUAGCUAGUUGGCGGGGUAAAGGCCCACCAAGGCGACGAUCCGUAGCUGGUCUGAGAGGAUGUUCAGCCACACUGGAACUGAGACACGGUCCAGACUCCUACGGGAGGCAGCAGUGGGGAAUAUUGGACAAUGGGCGCAAGCCUGAUCCAGCCAUACCGCGUGGGUGAAGAAGGCCUUCGGGUUGUAAAGCCCUUUUGUUGGGAAAGAAAAGCAGCAGGUUAAUACCCCGCUGUUCUGACGGUACCCAAAGAAUAAGCACCGGCUAACUUCGUG